This 383-nucleotide ribosomal RNA is filed under the name uncultured eukaryote. RNAcentral's name for it is "partial 18S ribosomal RNA". It matches the Rfam family "Eukaryotic small subunit ribosomal RNA", at positions 592 to 976 of the family's 1831-position model. The record is from RNAcentral.
CAAUAGCGUAUAUUAAAGUUGUUGCAGUUAAAAAGCUCGUAGUUGGAUUUCUGGUGGGAGCGAUCGGUCUGGCGCUUAGCGCGAGUACUUGCAUCGUCUCCGGCCAUCCUUGGGGAGAGUCUGUCUGGCAUUAGGUUGUCGGGCAGAGGAUCCUCAUCGUUUACUGUGAAAAAAUUAGAGUGUUCAAAGCAGGCUUAUGACGUUGAAUAUAUUAGCAUGGAAUAAUAAGAUAGGACUUUGGUACUAUUUUGUUGGUUUGCGCACCAAAGUAAUGAUUAAUAGGGACAGUUGGGGGUAUUCGUAUUCCGUUGUCAGAGGUGAAAUUCUUGGAUUUACGGAAGACGAACUACUGCGAAAGCAUUUACCAAGGAUGUUUUCAUUAA